RNAcentral lists this ribosomal RNA (209 nucleotides) under Salmonella enterica subsp. enterica. RNAcentral describes it as "partial 16S ribosomal RNA". It matches the Rfam family "Bacterial small subunit ribosomal RNA", at positions 1 to 201 of the family's 1533-position model. Lineage: Bacteria; Pseudomonadati; Pseudomonadota; Gammaproteobacteria; Enterobacterales; Enterobacteriaceae. The record is from RNAcentral.
UUUAUUGGAGAGUUUGAUCCUGGCUCAGGACGAACGCUGGCGGCGUGCCUAAUACAUGCAAGUCGAGCGGAGUUAAUCGGGAGCUUGCUCCUGAUUAGCUUAGCGGCGGACGGGUGAGUAACACGUAGGCAACCUGCCCGUAAGACUGGGAUAACUACCGGAAACGGUAGCUAAUACCGGAUACGCAAAUUCCUCGCAUGGGGGAUUUG